CGAUGAAGGGAGUCAAGCCGAGGAAUCGCACCGUCAAGCCUGAUGACAAGCUGGGGGCUAAGCGGAAGGGCGCCGACAAGGUGAGCAGGCAGGUGAAGCGUGCCAAGGCUGGCAAGGACCCCAACGCGCCGAAGCGUCCUCCGACCGCGUUCUUCAUCUUCAUGGAUGAUUUCCGCAAGGAGUUCAAGGAGAAGAACCCGAACAACAAAUCUGUGGCCACUGUGAGCAAAGCUGGGGGUGACAAGUGGAAAUCGAUGUCUGAUGCUGAGAAGGCACCCUACCAGGCCAAAUCUGAGAAGCGGAAGACUGAGUACAACCUGAAGAUGGAUGCUUACAACAAGAAGCUGGAUGGAGAUGCUGAGGGUGAGGAGUCAGACAAGUCCAAGUCUGAGGUUCAUGAUGAGGAGGAUGAGGAAGGGAGUGGUGAGAAUGGUGGUGAUGAGGCUGAUGUGUAGAUAGCAGGAAGACCUUCAUGGCAACUCUUGGUGGAUGUUUUUGUCUUUGGUUUAUUUUCUGUCUAAAUGUGUUGGAACUAUAGCAAAUAGAGCUGCUUAGUAAAGCUUAGUGUUUUAUCUUUCUUUGGCUGAUGGAUCUUGCUGUACCUGGCUUUGCUUUUCUCUGCUUAAUGGAUAC
This 633-nucleotide unclassified non-coding RNA is filed under the name Hevea brasiliensis (rubber tree). Lineage: Eukaryota; Viridiplantae; Streptophyta; Magnoliopsida; Malpighiales; Euphorbiaceae. The record is from RNAcentral.